Non-coding RNA from Armillaria mellea, 98 nucleotides. The record is from the annotation of a GenBank genome assembly. NCBI's taxonomy places the organism in Eukaryota, Fungi, Basidiomycota, Agaricomycetes, Agaricales, Physalacriaceae.
GGCUUGAUGGUCUAGUAGUAUGAUUCUUUGUUAGGGUAGGAUGCUUGCAGAUAACCUACAUUUCGAGGAGGUCCUGGGUUCAAUUCCCAGUCAAGCCC